UAGGGAAUCUUCGGCAAUGGACGGAAGUCUGACCGAGCAACGCCGCGUGAGUGAAGAAGGUUUUCGGAUCGUAAAGCUCUGUUGUAAGAGAAGAACGAGUGUGAGAGUGGAAAGUUCACACUGUGACGGUAUCUUACCAGAAAGGGACGGCUAACUACGUGCCAGCAGCCGCGGUAAUACGUAGGUCCCGAGCGUUGUCCGGAUUUAUUGGGCGUAAAGCGAGCGCAGGCGGUUAGAUAAGUCUGAAGUUAAAGGCUGUGGCUUAACCAUAGUACGCUUUGGAAACUGUUUAACUUGAGUGCAAGAGGGGAGAGUGGAAUUCCAUGUGUAGCGGUGAAAUGCGUAGAUAUAUGGAGGAACACCGGUGGCGAAAGCGGCUCUCUGGCUUGUAACUGACGCUGAGGCUCGAAAGCGUGGGGAGCAAACAGGAUUAGAUACCCUGGUAGUCCACGCCGUAAACGAUGAGUGCUAGGUGUUAGACCCUUUCCGGGGUUUAGUGCCGCAGCUAACACAUUAAGCACUCCGCCUGGGGAGUACGACCGCAAGGUUG
Molecule: ribosomal RNA, 550 nt
Filed under: uncultured bacterium
Lineage: Bacteria
Description: bacterial SSU rRNA
Rfam family: Bacterial small subunit ribosomal RNA
Source: RNAcentral